UGGGGAAUAUUGCACAAUGGGCGCAAGCCUGAUGCAGCCAUGCCGCGUGUGUGAAGAAGGCCUUCGGGUUGUAAAGCACUUUCAGCGAGGAGGAAGGUGGUGAGCUUAAUACGCUCAUCAAUUGACGUUACUCGCAGAAGAAGCACCGGCUAACUCCGUGCCAGCAGCCGCGGUAAUACGGAGGGUGCAAGCGUUAAUCGGAAUUACUGGGCGUAAAGCGCACGCAGGCGGUUUGUUAAGUCAGAUGUGAAAUCCCCGGGCUCAACCUGGGAACUGCAUUUGAAACUGGCAAGCUAGAGUCUCGUAGAGGGGGGUAGAAUUCCAGGUGUAGCGGUGAAAUGCGUAGAGAUCUGGAGGAAUACCGGUGGCGAAGGCGGCCCCCUGGACGAAGACUGACGCUCAGGUGCGAAAGCGUGGGGCAGCAAACAGGAUUAGAUACCCUGGUAGUCCACGCUGUAAAACGAUGUCGAUUUUGGAGGUUGUGCCCUUGAGGCGUGGCUUCCGGAGCUAACGCGUUAAAUCGACCGCCUGGGGAGUACGGCCGCAAGGUUAAAACUCAAAUGAAUUGACGGGGUCU
RNAcentral lists this ribosomal RNA (577 nucleotides) under uncultured bacterium. RNAcentral describes it as "partial 16S ribosomal RNA". It matches the Rfam family "Bacterial small subunit ribosomal RNA", at positions 355 to 921 of the family's 1533-position model. The record is from RNAcentral.